UGAGGAAUAUUGGUCAAUGGUCGGGAGGCUGAACCAGCCAAGCCGCGUGAGGGAUGAAGGUACAGAGUAUCGUAAACCUCUUUUGUCAGGGAACAAAAGGCGCCACGCGUGGCGCUCCGAGUGUACCUGAAGAAAAAGCAUCGGCUAACUCCGUGCCAGCAGCCGCGGUAAUACGGAGGAUGCGAGCGUUAUCCGGAUUUAUUGGGUUUAAAGGGUGCGUAGGCGGCGAGUUAAGUCAGCGGUAAAAGCCCGGGGGCUCAACCCCGGCCCGCCGUUGAAACUGGCUUGCUUGAGUUGGAGAGAAGUAGGCGGAAUGCGCGGUGUAGCGGUGAAAUGCUUAGAUAUCGCGCAGAACUCCGAUUGCGAAGGCAGCCUACCGGCUCCAGACUGACGCUGAGGCACGAAAGCGUGGGUAUCGAACAGGAUUAGAUACCCC
Molecule: ribosomal RNA, 436 nt
Filed under: uncultured bacterium
Lineage: Bacteria
Description: bacterial SSU rRNA
Rfam family: Bacterial small subunit ribosomal RNA
Source: RNAcentral